AGAGUUUGAUCCUGGCUCAGGAUGAACGCUGGCGGCGUGCUUAACACAUGCAAGUCGAGCGAAGCACUUUGUUUUGAAUCUUCGGAGGAAGAACGAAGUGACUGAGCGGCGGACGGGUGAGUAACGCGUGGACAACCUGCCUCAUACAGGGGGAUAACAGUUAGAAAUGACUGCUAAUACCGCAUAAGACCACGGUACUGCAUGGUACAGUGGUAAAAGCUCCGGUGGUAUGAGAUGGGCCCGCGUCUGAUUAGCUGGUUGGUGAGGUAACGGCUCACCAAGGCAACGAUCAGUAGCCGACCUGAGAGGGUGACCGGCCACAUUGGGACUGAGACACGGCCCAAACUCCUACGGGAGGCAGCAGUGGGGAAUAUUGCACAAUGGGGGAAACCCUGAUGCAGCGACGCCGCGUGAGCGAUGAAGUAUUUCGGUAUGUAAAGCUCUAUCAGCAGGGAAGAAAAUGACGGUACCUGACUAAGAAGCCCCGGCUAACUACGUGCCAGCAGCCGCGGU
This 513-nucleotide ribosomal RNA is filed under the name uncultured bacterium. RNAcentral describes it as "bacterial SSU rRNA". It matches the Rfam family "Bacterial small subunit ribosomal RNA", at positions 8 to 521 of the family's 1533-position model. The record is from RNAcentral.